AUGAACGCUGGCGGCGUGCUUAACACAUGCCAGUCGAACGGAAAGGCCAGUGCUUGCACUGGUACUCGAGUGGCGAACGGGUGAGUAACACGUGGGUGAUCUGCCCUGUACUUCGGGAUAAGCUUGGGAAACUGGGUCUAAUACCGGAUAGGACAACUUUUUGGAUAUUGUUGUGGAAAGCUUUUGCGGUAUGGGAUGAGCUCGCGGCCUAUCAGCUUGUUGGUGGGGUAAUGGCCUACCAAGGCGUCGACGGGUAGCCGGCCUGAGAGGGUGUACGGCCACAUUGGGACUGAGAUACGGCCCAGACUCCUACGGGAGGCAGCAGUGGGGAAUAUUGCACAAUGGGCGCAAGCCUGAUGCAGCGACGCCGCGUGGGGGAUGAAGGCCUUCGGGUUGUAAACUCCUUUCGCUAGGGAAGAAGCUUUUUUGUGACGGUACCUGGAGAAGAAGCACCGGCUAACUACGUG
This 467-nucleotide ribosomal RNA is filed under the name uncultured bacterium. Its description in RNAcentral is "partial 16S ribosomal RNA". It matches the Rfam family "Bacterial small subunit ribosomal RNA", at positions 29 to 507 of the family's 1533-position model. The record is from RNAcentral.